This is a long non-coding RNA of Trichomycterus rosablanca, 1310 nucleotides long. RefSeq lists it as uncharacterized. The record is from RefSeq and is a predicted model, not a curated record. The transcript is spliced from 3 exons. NCBI's taxonomy places the organism in Eukaryota, Metazoa, Chordata, Actinopteri, Siluriformes, Trichomycteridae.
UGUUUAAGCAUAUAGCUUUGCUAAUAAAAUCGUUCUUGCUUAUUUUUUAUGGUUUUGGCAACCCAGCGACCAGUCAGGACUUUUGAAUAAUGCUUUUUUUCUUUACUGGUCAUGCACAUACUCCUGCUAAUUCUAAAAACGCUUUAUAAAUAUCAAUGCAGCAAUCUUGUCUAGAAUAAACAGUAAAUGCUUAUUAUAUUGUUUAAGCAUAUAGCUUUGCUAAUAAAAUCGUUCGGCUUAUUUCUUAUGGUUUUGGCAACCCUGCGACCAGUCUGGAUUUUUAAAUAAUAUCUUUUUCUUUACUGAUAAUGCACAUACUCCUGAUAAUUUUAAAAAUGCUUUAUCAGUUUAUUUCAGGAGAAUAGUUUAAUUUAAUUUUUUUUUUAAAUCUGACAGCCCGAAAUUAGGAAAAACUGCAGCUGGAGGUAUAAACUGCUUACAAGGAACACAUCACCAUAAGAUGAUUCUGGCAACCUGGACAGUCUGGACUUGUACUUAAUAAACAUAUGAAUUUAAUGUCAGUUGUAUAUCCAGCGUAGCAGGAGCUACCAUCACAUUCGGGAAAGAGCAAAGACGCUGAGUAAAAAUGCAACGGCAUCUCCUGUGGGCGCUGAGUGACUGAAAUUUCCUUUAAAUCUUUAAUGAGCCGGAAAGCUUUUCCAAAGAAAGCCAAGUUACUGAAUCUGGAGGGUUUACGCUGAUCAAUUAACUCAACGGAGAGGAGGAGGGAGAGCCGAGACCGUCAAGUGUACACAAUUUAACAGCACCUUUAAUGGAGUAGUGAACAUACUGUAUCGAAUAUGUGGCUUACAUUACUAGUCAAGUAGAGGGAAAACAACUAGACUUCAAGUCAAGUGCCUGGUUAAUUGUGCACCCACAUAACCCUCUCAAUCCCAGUUUAAUUUAUUCAUUUAUUCAUUUUUACUGACCACCUAAUACUAUUUAGGGUCACUGUGAGUCUGGCGCCACACAUGCAGGAAUCCAUCACAGGACAACACACACUCAAACACCUAUUUACUUACUCACACAUAGAGGUCAUUCAUUCAUUCAUUGUCUGUUCUACCACUGCUUUAAGCAAAGGGUAAAAAUCACCUUUUACAGGUGACAGGUCGCCAGUCCAUCACACACACACACACACAUGGGUCAUUCCUGGGAUUGACCUUAAAACUUUUUGAAAAUGAAACACUGUUUUGUUCUGUUUAUUUGUUUUUCAUGUUUUUUUUAUAAAAAGGACAUGUUAUAUGUUUCCAAACUAAUACUGGUCAAGCUCAAGCAAGCACACAAACUAUAGGUUUUAUUAAAACAUUUUC